Molecule: ribosomal RNA, 465 nt
Filed under: uncultured bacterium
Lineage: Bacteria
Description: partial 16S ribosomal RNA
Rfam family: Bacterial small subunit ribosomal RNA
Source: RNAcentral
CCUACGGGUGGCUGCAGUAGGGAAUCUUCCACAAUGGGCGAAAGCCUGAUGGAGCAACGCCGCGUGGGUGAAGAAGGUCUUCGGAUCGUAAAACCCUGUUGUUAGGGAAGAAAGUGCGUGAGAGUAACUGUUCACGUUUCGACGGUAUCUAACCAGAACGCCACGGCUAACUACGUGCCAGCAGCCGCGGUAAUACGUAGGUGGCAAGCGUUAUCCGGAUUUAUUGGGCGUAAAGGGAACGCAGGCGGUCUUUUAAGUCUGAUGUGAAAGCCUUCGGCUUAACCGUAGUAGUGGAUUGGAGACUGGGAGACUUGAGAGUAGAAGAGGAGAGUGGAACUCAAGGUGUAGCGGUGAAAUGCGUAGAUAUAUGAAAGAACACCAGUGGCGAAGGUGGCUCUCUGGUCUGUAACUGACGCUGAGGUUCGAAAGCGUGGGUAGCAAACAGGAUUAGAUACCCUAGUAGUC